RNAcentral lists this ribosomal RNA (1651 nucleotides) under Shigella boydii. Its description in RNAcentral is "partial 23S ribosomal RNA". It matches the Rfam family "Bacterial large subunit ribosomal RNA", at positions 1312 to 2925 of the family's 2925-position model. Lineage: Bacteria; Pseudomonadati; Pseudomonadota; Gammaproteobacteria; Enterobacterales; Enterobacteriaceae. The record is from RNAcentral.
AUAAAGCGGGUGAAAAGCCCGCUCGCCGGAAGACCAAGGGUUCCUGUCCAACGUUAAUCGGGGCAGGGUGAGUCGACCCCUAAGGCGAGGCCGAAAGGCGUAGUCGAUGGGAAACAGGUUAAUAUUCCUGUACUUGGUGUUACUGCGAAGGGGGGACGGAGAAGGCUAUGUUGGCCGGGCGACGGUUGUCCCGGUUUAAGCGUGUAGGCUGGUUUUCCAGGCAAAUCCGGAAAACUAAGGCUGAGGCGUGAUGACGAGGCACUACGGUGCUGAAGCAACAAAUGCCCUGCUUCCAGGAAAAGCCUCUAAGCAUCAGGUAACAUCAAAUCGUACCCCAAACCGACACAGGUGGUCAGGUAGAGAAUACCAAGGCGCUUGAGAGAACUCGGGUGAAGGAACUAGGCAAAAUGGUGCCGUAACUUCGGGAGAAGGCACGCUGAUAUGUAGGUGAAGUCCCUCGCGGAUGGAGCUGAAAUCAGUCGAAGAUACCAGCUGGCUGCAACUGUUUAUUAAAAACACAGCACUGUGCAAACACGAAAGUGGACGUAUACGGUGUGACGCCUGCCCGGUGCCGGAAGGUUAAUUGAUGGGGUCAGCGCAAGCGAAGCUCUUGAUCGAAGCCCCGGUAAACGGCGGCCGUAACUAUAACGGUCCUAAGGUAGCGAAAUUCCUUGUCGGGUAAGUUCCGACCUGCACGAAUGGCGUAAUGAUGGCCAGGCUGUCUCCACCCGAGACUCAGUGAAAUUGAACUCGCUGUGAAGAUGCAGUGUACCCGCGGCAAGACGGAAAGACCCCGUGAACCUUUACUAUAGCUUGACACUGAACAUUGAGCCUUGAUGUGUAGGAUAGGUGGGAGGCUUUGAAGUGUGGACGCCAGUCUGCAUGGAGCCGACCUUGAAAUACCACCCUUUAAUGUUUGAUGUUCUAACGUUGACCCGUAAUCCGGGUUGCGGACAGUGUCUGGUGGGUAGUUUGACUGGGGCGGUCUCCUCCUAAAGAGUAACGGAGGAGCACGAAGGUUGGCUAAUCCUGGUCGGACAUCAGGAGGUUAGUGCAAUGGCAUAAGCCAGCUUGACUGCGAGCGUGACGGCGCGAGCAGGUGCGAAAGCAGGUCAUAGUGAUCCGGUGGUUCUGAAUGGAAGGGCCAUCGCUCAACGGAUAAAAGGUACUCCGGGGAUAACAGGCUGAUACCGCCCAAGAGUUCAUAUCGACGGCGGUGUUUGGCACCUCGAUGUCGGCUCAUCACAUCCUGGGGCUGAAGUAGGUCCCAAGGGUAUGGCUGUUCGCCAUUUAAAGUGGUACGCGAGCUGGGUUUAGAACGUCGUGAGACAGUUCGGUCCCUAUCUGCCGUGGGCGCUGGAGAACUGAGGGGGGCUGCUCCUAGUACGAGAGGACCGGAGUGGACGCAUCACUGGUGUUCGGGUUGUCAUGCCAAUGGCACUGCCCGGUAGCUAAAUGCGGAAGAGAUAAGUGCUGAAAGCAUCUAAGCACGAAACUUGCCCCGAGAUGAGUUCUCCCUGACUCCUUGAGAGUCCUGAAGGAACGUUGAAGACGACGACGUUGAUAGGCCGGGUGUGUAAGCGCAGCGAUGCGUUGAGCUAACCGGUACUAAUGAACCGUGAGGCUUAACCUUACAACGCCGAAGGUGUUU